ACAACUUUCAGCAACGGAUCUCUUGGCUCUCGCAUCGAUGAAGAACGCAGCGAAAUGCGAUAAGUAAUGUGAAUUGCAGAAUUCAGUGAAUCAUCGAAUCUUUGAACGCACCUUGCGCUCUUUGGUAUUCCAAAGAGCAUGCCUGUUUGAGUGUCAUUU
Molecule: ribosomal RNA, 159 nt
Filed under: Battarrea stevenii
Lineage: Eukaryota; Fungi; Basidiomycota; Agaricomycetes; Agaricales; Agaricaceae
Description: 5.8S ribosomal RNA
Rfam family: 5.8S ribosomal RNA
About the family: 5.8S ribosomal RNA (5.8S rRNA) is a component of the large subunit of the eukaryotic ribosome. It is transcribed by RNA polymerase I as part of the 45S precursor that also contains 18S and 28S rRNA. Functionally, it is thought that 5.8S rRNA may be involved in ribosome translocation.
Source: RNAcentral